UGCGGUGUAAAAUGAGCGUGCGUCCUAUUAGCUAGUUGGUGAGGCAAUGGCUCACCAAGGCUACGAUGGGUAGGGGUUCUUAGUGGAAGAUCCCCCACACUGGCACUGAGAUACGGGCCAGACUCCUACGGGAGGCAGCAGUAGGGAAUAUUGGUCAAUGGGCGAAAGCCUGAACCAGCCAUGCCGCGUGCAGGAUGACAGCUCUCUGAGUUGUAAACUGCUUUUGUACAGGAGCAAAACAAUCCCUGCGGGGGUUCUUGAGAGUACUGUAAGAAUAAGCACCGGCUAAUUCCGUGCCAGCAGCCGCGGUAAUACGGAAGGUGCAAGCGUUAUCCGGUUUUAUUGGGUUUAAAGGGUGCGUAGGCGGCUUAUUAAGUCAGUUGUGAAAUCCUAGUGCUUAACGCUAGAACUGCAAUUGAUACUAUUAGGCUUGAGUUAAGAAUAGGUA
This 448-nucleotide ribosomal RNA is filed under the name Candidatus Cardinium hertigii. RNAcentral's name for it is "bacterial SSU rRNA". It matches the Rfam family "Bacterial small subunit ribosomal RNA", at positions 214 to 659 of the family's 1533-position model. Lineage: Bacteria; Pseudomonadati; Bacteroidota; Cytophagia; Cytophagales; Amoebophilaceae. The record is from RNAcentral.